This 96-nucleotide non-coding RNA is filed under the name chicken gut metagenome. RNAcentral's name for it is "TPP riboswitch (THI element)". The stretch from base 3 to 88 matches the Rfam family "TPP riboswitch aptamer (THI element)", at positions 8 to 91 of the family's 105-position model. Rfam says of the family: Vitamin B(1) in its active form thiamin pyrophosphate (TPP) is an essential coenzyme that is synthesised by coupling of pyrimidine and thiazole moieties in bacteria. The previously detected thiamin-regulatory element, thi box was extended, resulting in a new, highly conserved RNA secondary structure, the THI element, which is widely distributed in eubacteria and also occurs in some archaea. The record is from RNAcentral.
AAGCUAGGGGUGCCUUAUAGAGGCUGAGAGAAGAGGACAACUCUUUGACCCUUUGAACCUGAUCUAGUUUAUACUAGCGUAGGGAAGCGGUGCAAU